This is a non-coding RNA of Leclercia adecarboxylata, 194 nucleotides long. Lineage: Bacteria; Pseudomonadati; Pseudomonadota; Gammaproteobacteria; Enterobacterales; Enterobacteriaceae. The record is from Rfam.
AGUAGGCGUUCAGUGUUCGCUGACAGAGCGCCGAACGCACACAGUCAUCUUUCGUAAACUGUACUAUCCCUACCAUCUCAUCCUCAUCGAAACGUGCCAACGCAUCGCUCAGACCCGAUUUUACGCCGGCCGGCAGGUCGCACUGGGUGAUAUCCCCGUUCACGAUCACCGUCACGUUUUCCCCGAGGCGCGUC